Molecule: long non-coding RNA, 1198 nt
Organism: Dermochelys coriacea (leatherback sea turtle)
Lineage: Eukaryota; Metazoa; Chordata; Testudines; Dermochelyidae
Exons: 2
Source: RefSeq, a predicted model, not a curated record
GGCACAGUAGGGGCUGGAGAGGCAACGCCAGUGGGUCAGGGGACAGGACGUUUUGGGGCCUGGAGGUUCUUGUUAAUGUCAGAUGUUACCAAUAGCUCACUCUCCCUGUCUGCAAGAGGGGAGGUAGCUAAGUCAGGUGAGUAGAGGACAGAGAGCCAGGAGGGGGGGAGGGAUAGCUCAGUGGUUUGAGCAUUGGCCUGCUAAACCCAGGGUUGUGAGUUCAAUCCUUGAGGGGGCCAUUUAGGGAUCGGGGGCAAAAAUUGGGGAUUGGUCCUGCUUUGAGCAGGGGGUUGGACUAGGUGACCUCCUGAGAUCCCUUCUAACCCUGAUAUUCUAUGACUUCUGGGUUCUAUUCCUGGCUCUGGGAGCAGAGUGGGGUCUAGUAGUUAGAGGAGAGGGGUUCAGGGACUGGGAGUCAGGACUCCUGGGCUCUAUUCCUGGCUUUACCAUUGAUUCCCUGUGGGGCUUGUCACUUCCCACUUCGGUACCUCAGUUUUCCCCACCGCUGAAAUCACGAUCCUACUUCCCAGUCUCCCAGGGAAGUCACGAGUUUGUGACUCUGUGUGAAGGGUUUUGGAGACAUAAAAGCCCUACACUCUGUAAGCACUAAGUGGAGCUGGGUCAGGAUGUGGGUUUCUCUAUUGGCUUCUGGUGACUCUACCUUUGAUCUCAGGGGUUUAUAUUGUUGUCGAAACUCCCUUGAUAAAAAUGCAGCCACAUCAGGGAGGGAAACGUGGUCUAGUGGCCAGAGGACAGGACAGCUGGGUGACCUUGCUGGGUGACCUUGGACAGGUCGCAACACUUUGUGCCUCAGUUUCCCCAUCCAUAAAAUAGGGCAAAUACCUCCUGAUAGUGGUGUGGGGCUCCCUGUUGUCUCUACAGCGCCCAGAGGCUGCUGGCUGGGCAGCACCGCAGAAACACAGUGUUAGAGAUGAUAUACUAGGUUGGGAUUUAUUCAGUCUGUUUUUUUUCCCCCUCCCUUUCUCUUACCCUUGUAAAUAGAUCGCCACUAAUGAUUCCAAACUGUGAGGCUUAGCUGAGCCAGGCAGCACUGGAGGCAGUGGGUGUGGAGUAGGUCAGGAGGCAGGUUUCAGCUGACCACCUUUUCUCCUGGCGCUCGGAGAUGGGCUGGGAUCAUGAAGCCUCUUGUGUUCGCUGUGGAUUGUAAAAAUGCCAAUAAAUCAACCCUUCAGUUUUA